AUUGUUUCUUUCGGUUUGAAGCAUUCAUUAUCUGAAGAAGUGGAUUUUUGAAGAUUGGAAGAUUCGCGUACGGCUUUUAUCAGACCUUCUCUUUUUUCAACAGAUAAGGAUAGUUUCAAAUUUGCAACAUAGUCACGAGGUCAGUACUUUUCAACGAAGUUAUGAAAUCAGAACAAAGAAGGGGCAGAAAAAAAUUGCACCCCUGUGCCCUUGAUGAUUGCCGCCAUUAUGCUCUCUAUCGCCCUGCACCACUACCUGCUGCUUCAGUCUCUUUUCAAUACCAAUUCCAUACGACAGUUCUUCUUCUCUACAUGUUCAUGUUACCUACUCCAAUAAAAAGACAACAAAAAAAAAUCUGGAUCAAUCCUAUAAGGGCUAUUACUAAGUCUGCAGUGUUCAAGGUAAAACGGCUAAAUAGUGUCCAUCCUUCCGCUUUUUCUUGUUGUACAAACCAACUCUCAAAUGCCUCCCGCCCACACCACAGCUCACCUUCCCACCACAGGCUCACUUUGUUCAACCUUGGUGUUCUCAUUACUACUCAAUUUCUUGCGGAUGUCAUAUCCUAUUUUUGUUGCUUAAAGGGGAAGGAAAUUUUGAAAAA
Molecule: long non-coding RNA, 601 nt
Organism: Morus notabilis
Lineage: Eukaryota; Viridiplantae; Streptophyta; Magnoliopsida; Rosales; Moraceae
Exons: 3
Source: RefSeq, a predicted model, not a curated record